This 1053-nucleotide long non-coding RNA is filed under the name Cyanistes caeruleus (blue tit). RNAcentral's name for it is "lncRNA (ENSCCEG00000019056.1)". Lineage: Eukaryota; Metazoa; Chordata; Aves; Passeriformes; Paridae. The record is from RNAcentral.
AUGCCUCAACAUAUGUUAUACAUGAGGCGAAUAAUUACACACAUGCUGGCAGCCCGGUCCCCGGCAGUCCAUCGGGGGAGAGAAAGUGUCCGCGGCGGGGCACUCGGGCCACGGCAGCAGCUCCAGCACAUCAAAGCACGGAACUGUGACACAACCGGGGACCAUCUUCUUUGGGUUUAUUGGAGGGAGCGGGGGCUCGUCUCGACUGUUAGCUUGGCCUUACUCCCCUUCCUCGCCUUUUUUUCUCUGCGGUCCCGCUUGUUCCCUGGCUGUCCUCCCCGUCCGCACCGGUCCUGCCGUGCUUCGCCGCUUCGGAGCCGCCACGACGGCCGAGUGCUCCGCAUUUCUCUGGAGAGUGAGGGCUGCCCGGAGCCAGCACCCGGUACCGGCCCUCAGAACCAGCCUGUGACAGCCAGCACCCGGUACCGGCCCUCGGAACCAGCUCGUGACAGCCAGCCUGUGACAGCCAGCACCCGGUACCGGCCCUCGGAACCAGCCCGUGACAGCCAGCACCCGGUACCGAUCCGUGACAUCCAGCCCUCGGUACCAGCCCUCGGUACCGGCCCGCUGCCGUCGUUCGCCGGGGCCGCAGACGCGCUGCCGCCGCUGCUUGGAGGUCGUUCCCGGCCGCUCACAGGAGCCGGGGCCCGCCACGGCCCGNNNNNNNNNNNNNNNNNNNNCCCCGGGCUGUGGCGGCCUGCUCUCCGCCGAAGGAAGGGACACGGGGCCUGCAGCUGCUCAGGAGCGAGCCCCGGGCUGUGGCGGCCUGCUCUCCGCCGAAGGAAGGGACACGGGGCCUGCAGCUGCUCAGGAGUGAGCCCCGGGCUGUGGCGGCCUGCUCUCCGCCGAAGGAAGGGACACGGGGCCUGCAGGUGUUUGGAAAUGCGGUACCGGGAUCCACCCAGCACACACGCCCCGUCUGCCCAGCCGGCGCCCUUGCGUGAAGAGCAGGGAGGUUUCUUGAGAAGAAAGAACAAAAGAAACAAGUGGCAAAUAAAAGUGAUCAGCCACACAACUGUCUGGAAACAUACUAAUUCAUCUUUCUAUUUUUGA